This 781-nucleotide long non-coding RNA is filed under the name Homo sapiens (human). Its description in RNAcentral is "non-protein coding lnc-STRN-2:1". The record is from RNAcentral. Lineage: Eukaryota; Metazoa; Chordata; Mammalia; Primates; Hominidae.
GGAGUGGAAAAGUCUUUGGAGAAGUUUUUGGGGGCCUGGCUGGCACAUGGGAUCCACUCUGCUCUCCAGGAAGCGUAUGCCAUCUUCUAGUUCGCAUUUCUGCACCAAGGCAGUGGCAGGUGGCCCGAAGAGUGAGUGGGAAGCAAUAAUCAGCUCUCCAACGCUUCAGCAUGGAAGGGAUCUCAAAUGUCAUUCAGAAUGGCCUCCGCCACACCUUUGGAAAUUCAGGUGGAGAGAAACAGUAUUUGACUACAGUCAUUCCUUAUGAGAAAAAAAACGGACCACCGUCUGUUGAAGAUCUUCAAAUAUUAACAAAAAUUCUUCGUGCCAUGAAGGAGGACAGUGAAAAAGUUCCGAGCUUGUUAACUGAUUAUAUUCUGAAAGUUCUGUGUCCUACAUAGAGCAGCAACUUUAUCUGCGGUGGGCUCCAAGCUAGAUUUCCGACAGCAUUAUUCUGAGAGCUGGCUACCAUUACCCUUCUUGCUAUUGGAAACUCAGCACAUUUGAACUUGGGUUUGAUUCAGUAUUAACAGAUCUUGACUACACUAAUUCUUUAUAUUAUAGAACCAACGGAAAUAUGGGCACUAUUUUGAAUUCUAGAGAUGGUUUUUGUUAAAUCUACUAAUAAACUGUUCUCUUAGUAGAUUAAGAGAGAGUAAUAUUAAUUGUGCAUGUGCAGUUGUAUUUCUCAUUAACUGACAGUAUGCCCAUUUGUUUUUAUGGCUUUCUUAUCUAAACUGCACUGAUGAACUAGAUUAAAGCCUUGGGAGAUUUAUACUAU